UCUGUAGCUCAGCUGGAUAGAGCACUGGCCUCCGACGCCAGGUGCCGGGGGUUCGAAUCCCUUCAGGCG
RNAcentral lists this transfer RNA (69 nucleotides) under uncultured Gemmiger sp. It matches the Rfam family "tRNA", at positions 5 to 66 of the family's 71-position model. Rfam says of the family: Transfer RNA (tRNA) molecules are approximately 80 nucleotides in length. Their secondary structure includes four short double-helical elements and three loops (D, anti-codon, and T loops). The record is from RNAcentral. Lineage: Bacteria; Bacillati; Bacillota; Clostridia; Eubacteriales; Oscillospiraceae.